UCCACUAAUCCACUAUCAUAUAAACAGAUAUUGGAUAAAAUAAUAAAAUAUCAAAAAUUAAAAUCACAAAUUCAAAACUCAAAACUCAAAAACCUAAACCUAAGUUUACCUAAGUUCCUAACCUCUCAAGUCUCAAACUCACUCCGCGGCUCCGCCUCACCUCCUCUUCUCUCAGCCUCUCGGCCCUCUCAGGCUCUCACUGUCUCAAGUCUCAACUCACUAGUUUCUACUCUCUAUCUUCUCAGAACUCAUAAAUCUCUUCGAACUCGCCUCAGAUCACAGUCUCUAUCUUCUCAGAUCAAGUCUCAACUCACUGAUUCGUGGAUUCGGUUGGAUCGGUCUGUGUCUUCUCAGAUCUUCGGCUUCUGGUCUCAAUUUGGUUGACAAAGGUGGGGAAGAUGCUUUCUGUGUGAGCAGCUACAAUGGAGGAGUCACUGCUGCUGUUGCCAAAUGAUGUUGGAUUGUUAGAAUGUUGAUUCAGUUUUUUUUUAACUUUUUUGUAAUUCUAAUGGAGUAACUGAAUUUCUUGGAUGUAAUAUUUUUAUAUUGUGUGUUUA
Long non-coding RNA from Cornus florida, 557 nucleotides. RefSeq lists it as uncharacterized. The transcript has 2 exons. NCBI's taxonomy places the organism in Eukaryota, Viridiplantae, Streptophyta, Magnoliopsida, Cornales, Cornaceae. The record is from RefSeq and is a predicted model, not a curated record.